This 257-nucleotide unclassified non-coding RNA is filed under the name Paraphaeosphaeria michotii. RNAcentral's name for it is "partial internal transcribed spacer region". The stretch from base 1 to 46 matches the Rfam family "Eukaryotic small subunit ribosomal RNA", at positions 1786 to 1831 of the family's 1831-position model. The record is from RNAcentral. Lineage: Eukaryota; Fungi; Ascomycota; Dothideomycetes; Pleosporales; Didymosphaeriaceae.
AAGUCGUAACAAGGUUUCCGUAGGUGAACCUGCGGAAGGAUCAUUAUCCAUCUAAAACCAGGUGCGGUCGCGGCCUCCGGGUGAAAGCCCGGGUGGUUUCGCGCCGCAUUCCUGCACCCUUUUUUUACGAGCACCUUUGUUCUCCUUCGGCGGGGCAACCUGCCGCUGGAACUUAAUAAAACCUUUUUUGCAUCUAGCAUUACCUGUUCUGAUACAAAUAAUCGUUACAACUUUCAACAAUGGAUCUCUUGGCUCUG